GGGCACUCUGGAAGGACUGCCAUCGACAAGAUGGAGGAAGGUGGGGAUGACGUCAAGUCAUCAUGGCCCUUAUGUCCAGGGCGACACACGUGCUACAAUGGCCGGCACAACGGGAAGCGAGUUCGCGAGGACGAGCGGAUCCCUCAAAGCCGGUCGCAGUUCGGAUUGAAGUCUGCAACUCGACUUCAUGAAGCUGGAAUCGCUAGUAAUCGUGGAUCAGCCAAGCCGCGGUGAACACGUUCCCGGGCCUU
This 251-nucleotide ribosomal RNA is filed under the name uncultured Synergistaceae bacterium. RNAcentral's name for it is "partial 16S ribosomal RNA". It matches the Rfam family "Bacterial small subunit ribosomal RNA", at positions 1133 to 1382 of the family's 1533-position model. Lineage: Bacteria; Thermotogati; Synergistota; Synergistia; Synergistales; Synergistaceae. The record is from RNAcentral.